CCGAGUUCUGACAAAACUCCCCAAACCCACUGUGAACCUAUACCUUUACCGUUGCUUCGGCGGGUUGACGCCCCGGAAGGCCCCUGAAAAAGGCCCGCCGGAACCAGGCGCCCGCCCGCCGGGGGACCCCACCAAAACUCUUUGUAUUUUUCUUACCUAGCAUGUCUGAGUGUCAUAAAAAAAAAUGAAUCA
This 192-nucleotide unclassified non-coding RNA is filed under the name uncultured Sordariomycetes. Its description in RNAcentral is "sequence contains ITS1". Lineage: Eukaryota; Fungi; Ascomycota; Sordariomycetes. The record is from RNAcentral.